This 490-nucleotide ribosomal RNA is filed under the name uncultured bacterium. RNAcentral describes it as "bacterial SSU rRNA". It matches the Rfam family "Bacterial small subunit ribosomal RNA", at positions 903 to 1397 of the family's 1533-position model. The record is from RNAcentral.
AAAUGAAUUGACGGGGGCCCGCACAAGCAGUGGAGUAUGUGGUUUAAUUCGAAGCAACGCGAAGAACCUUACCAGGUCUUGACAUCCACCGAAUCCGGAAGAGAUUCUGGAGUGCCCUUCGGGGAGCGGUGAGACAGGUGGUGCAUGGUUGUCGUCAGCUCGUGUCGUGAGAUGUUGGGUUAAGUCCCGCAACGAGCGCAACCCUUGUUAAUAGUUGCUACGCAAGAGCACUCUAUUAAGACUGCCGUUGAUAAAACGGAGGAAGGUGGGGAUGACGUCAAAUCAUCAUGCCCCUUAUGACCUGGGCUACACACGUACUACAAUGGCCGCCAACAAAGGGAAGCAAUACCGCGAGGUGGAGCGAAUCCCCAAAAGCGGUCCCAGUUCAGAUUGCAGGCUGCAACCCGCCUGCAUGAAGACGGAAUUGCUAGUAAUCGCGGAUCAGCAUGCCGCGGUGAAUACGUUCCCGGGCCUUGUACACACCGCCCGU